RNAcentral lists this ribosomal RNA (484 nucleotides) under uncultured bacterium. RNAcentral describes it as "partial 16S ribosomal RNA". It matches the Rfam family "Bacterial small subunit ribosomal RNA", at positions 30 to 507 of the family's 1533-position model. The record is from RNAcentral.
AUUGAACGCUGGCGGCAGGCCUAACACAUGCAAGUCGAGCGGAUGAAGGGAGCUUGCUCCUGGAUUCAGCGGCGGACGGGUGAGUAAUGCCUAGGAAUCAGCCUGGUAGUGGGGGAUAACGUCCGGAAACGGGCGCUAAUACCGCAUACGUCCUGAGGGAGAAAGUGGGGGAUCUUCGGACCUCACGCUAUCAGAUGAGCCUAGGUCGGAUUAGCUAGUUGGUGGGGUAAAGGCCUACCAAGGCGACGAUCCGUAACUGGUCUGAGAGGAUGAUCAGUCACACUGGAACUGAGACACGGUCCAGACUCCUACGGGAGGCAGCAGUGGGGAAUAUUGGACAAUGGGCGAAAGCCUGAUCCGGCCAUGCCGCGUGUGUGAAGAAGGUCUUCGGAUUGUAAAGCACUUUAAGUUGGGAGGAAGGGCAGUAAGUUAAUACCUUGCUGUUUUGACGUUACCAACAGAAUAAGCGCCGGCUAACUUCGUG